AAAUGCAAGUAUUUUCAAUGAAAUAAGAUCGACAUGUAAUGUGUGGGUACCAACUUGAACCAAACAAGACUUAUAAACCGUGGAUGUAAUGAAGGUUUCUCCCAACGGAGUUUCAACAGAUAAGUCAAAGUCUAAUUUCUCCGGAGUCAAAUUUAAACGUUGAGCGCAAGUAGGAGAAAUAAAAGAAUGGGUAGAACCGG
RNAcentral lists this long non-coding RNA (200 nucleotides) under Panax ginseng (ginseng). RNAcentral's name for it is "long non-coding RNA (PGIN_LNC016838)". Lineage: Eukaryota; Viridiplantae; Streptophyta; Magnoliopsida; Apiales; Araliaceae. The record is from RNAcentral.